UGGGCCUGCAGUCGACGAUUCCUACGGGAGGCAGCAGCAGGGAAUAUUGUGCAAUGAGCGAAAGCUUGACACAGCGACACCGCGUGUGGGAUGACGGUUCUAGGAUUGUAAACCACUUUCAGGAGGGAAGAAAAUGACGGUACCUCCACAAGAAGACCCGGCCAACUAUGUGCCAGCAGCCGCGGUAAUACAUAGGGGUCAAGCGUUGUCCGGAUUUAUUGGGCGUAAAGAGCUCGUAGGCGGUUCAACAAGUCGGUCGUAAAAGUUUAGGGCUCAACCCUAAAAUGUCGAUCGAUACUGUUGCGACUAGGAUACGGUAGAGGUGAAUGGAAUUCCGAGUGUAGCGGUGAAGUGCGUAGAUAUUCGGAGGAACACCAAUUGCGAAGGCAGUUCACUGGACCGUGAUCGACGCUGAGGAGCGAAAGCUAGGGGAGCAAACAGGAUUAGAUACCCUAGUAGUCCUAGCUGUAAACAAUGGAUACUAGAUGUUGAACAGAUCGACCUGUGCAGUAUUAAAGCUAACGCGUUAAGUAUCCCGCCUGGGAAGUAUGCUCGCAAGAGUGAAACUCAAAUGAAUUGACGG
Molecule: ribosomal RNA, 583 nt
Filed under: uncultured marine bacterium
Lineage: Bacteria
Description: bacterial SSU rRNA
Rfam family: Bacterial small subunit ribosomal RNA
Source: RNAcentral